GUGCUAUAGUUCAGAGCUUGGGUAAAUGUGCAACCACGCUGCUUCCUCAGUGCUCCAAACAGAGAGAAUUCUUAUGCAAAUUUAAGAAUCUGCCCUUGUGGAGAGGAGCGAUCUCCUUUUACAACUGUCUGGGAUUUGUAUGGAGGUGGAAUUCGGCAGUUACAGAAAACCAGUAGGAGCCUUCUGAGCUCACAGAACCUCCAGAACAUCAGCUGGAAGUGCAGUGGCUGCAUCUGGAGACCCUGUGCCCCAGUCCUCGGGCUGAGCUUUGAAGAAGAGACCUCCAGCAGCACUGGUGAGUACAGAGAUGGCCACGGAGACAGAAAUGAAAGCGGCAGAGCACCGCGAGGGCACAGCCGAGGCUUGUGGAGACAGCGCUCCAACUCUCCAGACAGCAGACCUAAAGGAGUCUCAUCCUAAAAAGGGAUCCAAGCACUAAAAUAACUGGCACUCACUCGUCUUAAAAGCUCAGAGGAACAGUGCUGAUUCUGUACCAACCUGGCAGAAAUUCUGAGGAAAAAAUUGAGGUUCCUUCUAUAAAUCAGAGUUACAUAGCCCAGUAUAGUGGAGAUGGAAUGAAAUUAAGAAAACCUGUAAUUCAAGCAUCAUCUUCUAUAGAACUAGUGGCCUGAUGUGUCUUGCCCAAGUUCACACAGCAAUUUAGAAGACAAUUUAGAUUAAGAAUCAUGGAGGUUCAGCAACUCCGAAUUCAGUGUUCGGUUCACUUCCUUUUAUCCUGAAGACAGAGUUCUCAGGAGGACGACGCUACAGUGAGUUCAGAAAGUUUCCCUCUGGAGCCUGGAGAACGUUGAAACAGAUCCUGAAGACAGGCAGGCAUUGCUGUGUGGAAAUGAAGUUUCCAGGACUUGAAAAACAUGUAAUUAAACCCUAGCAGCCGAAUGGAAACUGGAAGUGACUUACAUCACCUAUUUGUAACCCAAAGGAGAGACAAUCAGUUGACCAGUGGUUAUUUUUAAAUAAAGUUUUUUAAAAUGAAAAGAAGGAGCAUUUUCAUUUUCACUUUUAGAACAAAAGAAUGUAUGAUUUAUGAAAGAAAAAUAUACUUUCAUUGCUUAAUGGCCUUGAAAACAUAUCACAAGACAACAUUAUGCUUCUUUCUUAUUGGACUUUUUAUAUUUUCAUAAUCAUGAAAUAUUUCCUUAGAUGAUCACAUGCAAUAAUUGCCCAUUUUACAAAGAAGAAUCAUUGUCCUACAAUAGUGGUACAAUAGACAAAUGCUCUCUUUAAAAGAUUCUUAGUACAGGUUUGGUUUCAGAAAAUCACCUGCAAAUCAGUACAUGAACAUUCUGCAGGGAACUGAGCUGCAAUGGUCAAUGCCAUUUAACAACUCUUUAAAACUGGAAAAGGACUAUCAUCAUGAUGCCCACCCUCCCCAUCUUCAGUCAGUUAAAGAUGAGCAGUGUCAAUUUAUUUAUUUAUUUUAUAUCCUUUUAUUGGUACAUUUUAGGUGUACAAUAUAAUGAACUUCAUCAUUGGAGAUAUGCACCUUUACAUACUCUUUUGGUUCCUAGUUUUUCCCCCAUCCCCUGCCCUCCCUUCAACCCCUCCAAUCUCUCCCUAUUUACAAAGACUUUGUUUCCAUUUUUAUCUUUUCUCAUAUUAAUUCCACUCCCUUCUUUCCUUUCCCCUACCCCUCCCACUUCCCCCUCCCCUUUGUCCCUUUUCUUCCUAUUUCACAUUAUCUAUUAUACGUUUUACUCCUUAUUUACACUUUCAGUUUCUCACACUAGAGAAACUAUUCAGUAUUUACACAUGUGUGUCCUAUUUAUUUCACUUAAGAGUAUGGCCUCAAUGUGCAUCCAUUUAGCAAUAAAAGUCUCUAAUUUCUCAUUUUUUAUGGCUGAGUAGUACUCCAUUUUAAUUUAAAAACCCACAUUUUCUUGAUCCAGUCUCCAGUUGAUGGGCAUUUGGGCUGUUUCCAAGUUUUAGCUAUUACAAACUGUGCUGCUAUGAACAUGGGUGCACAUAUAGCACUGUGGUAUGAUUCUUUUAAUUCUUUGGGGAAGAUAUGCCACAAGGGAAUAGCUGCGUUAAAUGGGACUUCCAGUCCUAGUUCUUUGAGGUAUCUCCAUACUGAUUUCCACAGUGCUUGCACCAGUCUACACUCCCACCAGCAGUGGAGCAGUGUUCUUCUUUCCCCAUAGCCCUGCCAGCAUUUGAUGUUAGUUGAUUUCAUGAUAGCAGCUAUUCUUUCUGGGGUGAGGUGGAAUCUCAGCGUUGUUUUCAUUUGCAUCUCUCGAAUGACCAGUGAUGUGGAACAUUUUUUCAUAUGUUUAUUUGCCAUGUCUAAUUCUUUGUCUGGGAAAUGUCUGUUCAUUUCAGAUGCCCAUUUUUGGACUGGGUCUUUAAAUUUGGGAGGUCUGAUUUUUUUUCAGUUCUUUAUAGAUUCAAGAUAGUAGACCUUUGUCUGAAGGAUCAAUGGUGAAAAUUUUUUCCCACAUUGUGGGUUGUCUCUUCACACUGCUGGUGGUUUCUCUUGCUGUGCAGAAGCUUUUUAGUAAAAAGAGAUCCCACUUGGUUGUUUGUGCUAGUUCAUGGGCAACUGAGGUUUUGUUCAUAAAGUCUUUUCCUACUCCAAUGUCUUCAAGAGUUCUACCUGACCUCUGUUCCAGCCGGUUCAGAGUUUCUGUUUUUAUAUUUAGAUCUUUAAUCCAUUUUGAUUUGAGAUUAGUGCAUGGUGAGAGAUACAGGUCUAGUUUUAGUCUUUGGCAAGUUGAAACCCAACUUCUCCAGCACCAUUUAUUAAAGAGAUUAUCUUUCCUCCAGCGAGGGGGUUUGGCUCCUUUGUCAAAGAUGAGGUGGCUGAGUGUGUCUGGAGUUGUUUCUGCAUCUUCUAAUCUGUUCCACUGGUCUUCAGGCCUGUUUCUUUGCCAGUACCAUGCUGUUUUUAUCACAGUAGCUUUGUAGUAUACUUUCAAGUUGGGGAUUGUGAUACCCCCUGCCAUGUCUCUGUUACCUAGAAUUGCUUUUGCUAUUCUGGGUCUCUUCUUGCUCCAAAUGAAUUUUCGGAUUGUUUUCUCAAGGUCUAUGAAGUAUGCUGCUGGGAUUUCAAUUGGGAUUGCAUUGAAUCUAUAUAGCAAUUUUGGAAGUAUAGCCAUUUUCACUAUGUUGAUCCUUCCUACCCAGGAGAAGGGAUGUCUUUCCAUUUUCUGAUAUCCCCUUCAAUAUCUUCUUUCAAAGUGCUAUAGUUUUCAGAGAACAGGUUUUUUAUUUCUUUUGUAAGGUUGACUCCUAGGUGUUUCAGUUUUUUGGAUGCUAUUGUGAAAGGAAUUGUUUGCCCUAGUUUUCUUUCAGUGACUGUUGUUCAUGUAGAGGAAAGCUAUUGAUUUUUUGUGUGUUGAUCUUGUAUCCAGCUACUUUAAUGAAUUUGGUUAUUAAGUCUAGAAGACUUUUAGUGGAGUUCUUGGGCUCUUCUAUGUAGAGUAUCAUGUCAUCUGCAAAUAAUGACAAUUUGACUUCUUCAUUUCCUAUCUUUAUUCCUCUUAUUUCUCUCUUGUCUAAUUGCUGUAGCUAAUGUUUCCAAAACUAUAUUGAACAGGAGUGGUGAUAGUGGACAUCCUUGUCUUGUUCCUGAUUUUAGUGUGAAGGAUUUCAGUUUUUGACCAUUUAGUAUGAUAUUGGCUGUUGGUUUUUCAUAGAUGGCUUUUAUCAGAUUGAGGUAGAGACCAUCUAUUCUGAUUUUUUGUAGGGUUUUUAAUCAUAAAUGCAUGUUGGAUUUUGUCAAAUGCUUUUUCUGCAUCUAUUGAGAUGAUCAUAUGGUUUUUGUCCCUGGC
Molecule: long non-coding RNA, 3794 nt
Organism: Heterocephalus glaber (naked mole-rat)
Lineage: Eukaryota; Metazoa; Chordata; Mammalia; Rodentia; Bathyergidae
Source: Ensembl